This 27-nucleotide non-coding RNA is filed under the name Homo sapiens (human). The record is from RNAcentral. Lineage: Eukaryota; Metazoa; Chordata; Mammalia; Primates; Hominidae.
UCCUGGAGGCACCAGCGGAGUCACUGA